This 413-nucleotide ribosomal RNA is filed under the name Salmonella enterica subsp. enterica serovar Heidelberg. Its description in RNAcentral is "bacterial SSU rRNA". It matches the Rfam family "Bacterial small subunit ribosomal RNA", at positions 1 to 410 of the family's 1533-position model. Lineage: Bacteria; Pseudomonadati; Pseudomonadota; Gammaproteobacteria; Enterobacterales; Enterobacteriaceae. RNAcentral also lists the same sequence under 1 other name. The record is from RNAcentral.
AAAUUGAAGAGUUUGAUCAUGGCUCAGAUUGAACGCUGGCGGCAGGCCUAACACAUGCAAGUCGAACGGUAACAGGAAGCAGCUUGCUGCUUUGCUGACGAGUGGCGGACGGGUGAGUAAUGUCUGGGAAACUGCCUGAUGGAGGGGGAUAACUACUGGAAACGGUGGCUAAUACCGCAUAACGUCGCAAGACCAAAGAGGGGGACCUUCGGGCCUCUUGCCAUCAGAUGUGCCCAGAUGGGAUUAGCUAGUUGGUGAGGUAACGGCUCACCAAGGCGACGAUCCCUAGCUGGUCUGAGAGGAUGACCAGCCACACUGGAACUGAGACACGGUCCAGACUCCUACGGGAGGCAGCAGUGGGGAAUAUUGCACAAUGGGCGCAAGCCUGAUGCAGCCAUGCCGCGUGUAUGAAG